ACAGUAUGUGGGAAUUAUGGGAGCUAUAAUUCAAGAUGAGAUUUGGGUGGGACACAGCCAAACCAUAUCACUAGGUAAGAAGAGGGCUCCAUGCUAAGGAACAGGAUAUGCAAAGACCCUGUGGCAGGAGGAACUCUACCUGCUUUUUUGAAGAAUUCCAUAAGGUAGCCUUCAGUGGAGCUGAGUAGAGAGUGGGGGAGAGUGGGCUAAAACAUGAGGGGAGAAGUAGGCAAAAGCUAAAUCUCAUCAGGACCUUAUAGACAAUUGACAGAUGUUUGUCUUUAUCCAGUAAGGUGUUUGUAUGCUCCUUAAGUGGCAGCGGGGAGUGAGCAGAGCAGUGAAGAUAAACAUGAAAGCUGGUGGUAACAAAUUCUGAUACCUCCUCUAUUCCAAAAGGAAAGGCAGAACUCAGAGGCACCAUCCUCCUGUUGUGUUUGCAAGCUGUUGACACAACCUGGAAAGGUUAAAAGUUUUCAACAGACUUGUCAGAGUUUGUGUUCAAUGGAAACUGACAGAGCCUACCGGCUGAGGGGCUAAUUUUAAUAGAAAUAACCUAGGUGCGUUUGUUAAUUUUCUCCGUUCCCUCAAUGACCUGUCUGCAUAGCGUGAAGGUGCUUUGAUGUGACCAGGAGAACAGAAGGAUAUUUUGUGCAUAGCUGACCGUGAGAGGAAUGCUGGUUUUGCAAUGAGGAAGCACAGGAAGAUGACAGAACAAUGAGCAUAAGACAUGCUGGGUGCAUUUUUUGGACCUUACCACAUCUUGUUUGAGAGAAGUGGGACCAAUGCUGAUGAAACUCUUUCCCAUGGUGUGUUCUAUAUUCAUUGGAUGGGCAUCGCCUACGGCUGGAGCAGGGCUGAGCUCUGUACUGGUGUCUCUUAAAACACACCAGACAGCAACAGCUGAGAUACCUACUACCUGGAUCUGCUUGAUUAGAUCAUACGGUCAUAUUUGAUUACUUAGAAUGGGCUUCUGGAGGAUCUGUUGCUGAUUGCACUGAAACCAGAAGUUGUACUUGGCCAAGGACGAGCUAACCCCAAACAGCAAGAGGUUUGAGUUGGCUCCAAAGCACAAGCCUCACAAAUAUCCCGUGAGUCUCCCACAGGCUUGGGGCUCUCUGUUUAGAAUUAGAACCUAAUCUUCAAAUAUCCCUUUACCCUCUUGCCUCAAAAAGGAAGGCAGUGAAGAGCAGCAGCAAGGCAUCCUGGAUGAGCACUGGAAGGGGAGAAUGCUCAUGUUUUAGUCGUGGGCUUUCCACCAGUUAGCUGUGCAGCUUUGGGCAGAUACUUGAACUUCUCUGGUGCUCUGUUUCUUCAUGUUUAAAUGAGAGGAUUAAACUGUAUGACUUUUGGGUCGAAAGUACGUCUCUGCCAUCAGUAUCAUAACAAUUAUUGAAAUUGCUGCCUAGAAUCUUCCGCUACCACAGUGUAUUUUGAUUGGACUGUUUAUUGCCUUAGCAAACACAAUGCAGUGCUGUGUCUUUGGCAUCUUGCCAGGAAAGAUGAGCCAAUUUUCUCGUGUUGCUUCUGGAUGUCAAAACAUUCUCAUCUGACCAUGCCACAGAAGAAGUUUGUUGAGAGUGUGACUGACUGACAUAAUGACUGAUUGGCUGAUAACGGCAGCUGACAGUGAUUGAUUGAGUGUAAAAUUAUCUGUUCUCAUUACUUCUGAAAUUGAAUUCAGAUUGGUUCUAUUGGAGGGUUUCCAUGGAGACCAUAACCUGCUAUAGCAAGUGUUUGUGGAUGCAAUGUUUUAUUGUGAUCAAUACCUGUUUCCUCUGCUGGUCCAAAGAAAUUAUUAAUGAUUAUAGUCAAGUAGAAAGAGGCAACCAUAUAUAAGAAGAAAAAAACUCUCAUAUUUUGUCUCAUUGCUACAUAAAACAAAUGUGGGCCUUCCCAGACUUGCGCUUUGGCUAACUAGUUCAUAAUACGUUCGAUAACUUGCCAUUCUUCUUUUGCUAUUAAUGCAGAGGGUUUGCUUUGGAAAAAAGAAAAGUAUUUCUAGGACUCUUUCUCUCUUUGAAGAAGAUCAGAAUAAUAGACGAAUGUUCAUACUUGGUUUUUUUUUAAAUGCGAUGUUACAGAAACAACAAACAUUUAAUCAAAUCUUAAACACACCCAUGUUAAUGCAGAGACAGAGAUGGUCCCUCAGGCUUUUUCUGGGUUGUUUCCAUGAAUGAUAAAGUCAUUAAACAAUUUCAUAGGCUUGCCUUAUUGAUCUCUCACAAUGGCAUGCUAUGUCUGCUCUUCAGGAAAGCCUUUCCUGACUGCCCCCAUCAGAGUUAAUUACUACUUACUCUGUGUUCGCAUGGCCUUCUUCCAUCUUCUAUUAUAGCAUUCAUCUCAGGCCACCUUGCCUUACAAUUACUUGUAUCUCUUUUUCCCACUAGAUUAUGACCUCCUUGAGGACAGGGUGAUUUUCUUGUUGCUCUUUGUAUUAUCCUCAGCAUCUAGGUGAAUCUCUGAUACAUCACAAGGGUUCAAUAAAUGCUCAUUGAAUUGAAUUAACUGGAUCUGCAUUCCAAGGUCAUCUCUUCCUAGACUGGUGUUGAAUGGGAUUCCCAUGAAGUGAGGCAGCAGAGUGCGUGCUUGCUGGUUCUGUUGCUUUGUCUCCUGCCCUGUGGCUGCGUCUGUGCCCAAGAGGAUUGUUAGGAUAUAUUGUGCUACAGGAGAUUGAUAUUGUAUAGGAUGUCUGUACAGCUUAUAGACUGGUGCUGACCGUACUGAAAUGAUGGUGGGAGGAUACCUAAUAAGGAUUCUAUUUUAUGCUUAGCUGUAUUCAUUCAUUGGUUUGGUUGGAAUCUGCUUCAGCGUACUUCCUCUACCCAAAUUUGGCUCAUUAGCUGAAAUCACUUUGGGAUGAAUCCACUGUUAAUAGUGGCUAACAUUUUUCAUGCACUUACGACAUGUCUGGCACAGUACUAAGUACUUUACAUAUUUUUCAAUUCUUACACAUUGCUCCCAUUAUCCCAUUUUGAAGAUAAGGAGACUGAAGCACAGAGUGUUUAUUUCCUAAGGUCACACAGCUAGGAAGUAGAGGAGCUAGGAUUUGAAUUCCUAUAGUCUAGCUUCCUACCCCAUUCUUAAGCUAUCUACCCUGUUGCCGCCUGACAAAAGUGUGUUUCAAAAUUUAAUUCCUGAACUGACUGCAUCAAAAUCCCCUGUAGUGUUUGUUAAAAGUGAAGAUACCCCAAGACCUACUGAUUCAGGUUGUUUUCACCGAGGCCAGCAAAUCUGCACCAACAUGUUUUAUUCUGUUCUGUACCUCAAGCUUUGAUGCUGCUUUGUUUUCUUGUUUUGGGAGAAGGGCAGGGGUGGGGGUGGAGGCAAGCGAGUCCAAUACUACAACUUUAGAAAUCUCUGCUCUAGGGUGAACACUCUCUUUGAGACUUCUAAAUUAAAGUCAAGUCUUUUGGAUUUUUGUUUCUUUGUACUGCCUAACUUUAGAAAGACCUGGAAGCGGUAACAUGAAAACAUUUUUAGAGAGAAUUACCAGGCAUUUUUGGUAGAAUGAGUGUUUAAUGGAACAGUCCAGAGAACUCAUCAAAGAUGUUUAUUAAAACGCGCAGACCUGCUCCAAUUAAGGGCCCAGUCAGUGGUGUUAACAGUGAAGGGACUGUUCCAGAGGCGUGCUGCACGGGACGCCCACCCCAAAUACAAAUGGUUUGCCAGUAGCUCACAAAUGAACCCCAUUGCCUUGCACUUAAGCUUCCUGAAGCACAUACAUAUCCUGCUUUGUGCUUUCCGCCCUAUAGUAAACGCAAACCAAUGGAGAUGUGAAGCAAUCUAAUAGCAACAAGGCAAACCUCUACUUCCUCUAAAGAGGAUUGCAUCCUCUUGCUAUCUUUGCCGAUGCUCUCCUACAGACCCAUCCCUGUCAUGUCUUUCCUGUCUUUCUAGUAGAAUUCUGGCUGCUCCCGUAGGACCUCCUUGCGGGAAUUUUCCCUGGUUGCUGCCUCCAAGGAGAGGCUCCCCACCAGAAAGUUUUAAGAGGCUUAUGCUUCUGGGGUUAAUGCGGUCCUUUCUGUCACCUUGUUUUCUGUUCCUAGUUAUCUUUCGGUAACUUUUUUCCUAAACUACUCUGAAAGGCAUAGACUGUCUCUUGAAAGCUCAUCUGUUCUUAACCCCUUUCCCUCAUUCCACUGACUGCAGCAUCUUCCACAUACCAUUCCCUCUUAGCAUUUAUGUCCAUGUCAUGCUUUUGUUGGUUUAUUUGUGUAUUUUCUGCUUCCCACCAUUAGAUCAUUUGUAGAAUUAAUGAAUGCCUAUGGGUUAAUAGAUUUUUCGCUGUAUCCUCUUUUCUCUGUAUCUCUCUGCCCAGUUGCUUAGAAAUGCUUCUGUUUGUGUAUUUGUAUCCACCUUCUUUGGGGAGAGUUAUGACCCUGGUCCUUAUGCCAUCAGUGGUAUUGCAAUUUUGUAUGUAGCAUGACCAUUUUUAAAAAUGACAUUUCAUAGUGAGUGAUUCAGACACCUAUCAUUCAGCUUACCUGCCGGGGCCCUCCAAAAUGAGCAGAAGGCCUCUGUCUCAUUCUAGAAGCUUGAAGGUCUCCACGUGGUUUGCCCAGGGGCCCACAACCUCCCUGCAGUCCAGGAGUGCUCCCAUUAACCCCAGCUGUGUGAUUCAGACCAGAUUCUUAGGACUUUUUAAGUGAAAUGGGACAGAAAAUUGCUUGAUGUAUUUUGCCACAUGAAGUACAUUUUGCUGCCGCUUAGUUCUUUAUUGUCGUUAGAUUAAAAACUCUCCUAACGUUGUGUGGGUAAGUAAAAAUCUUUUUAUUUUUAUCUGGUAUGUUUUGAAAAAAAGGAAAAAAGAAACUAGACAUUGUCAAAAUAUUUGCUUAAUCUUGCAGAUUUGGGAAGUUGUAUAGCCACUCGCUCUGACAGACCAGAACAAUGGUCAUUAAAUGAGAAGCAGAUGUAAUAAAGUAUGCAGUAAAAGCCUUCUAUUAUGGGCUGGAAGGGGAAAAAAAUGAGUUGUUAACAGAACACAGUAAGCAUUAUGGAAUAAAUCAGAACAAAACCAUUCCCAAUUACUGUACAAAGAUAAUUAAAGUCUACAAUGCUAAUUAAGGUCUGUUUAUAUCUAUUUCUGUUUGUGUACAAACAUAUGCGCAUAGUUAAAUAUUUUCCAUUGUUUUUUAUGUGAUGCUAACUUCAUAGUUGAAUUUUUCUGAAUUUAACUUUUGUUUUUAUGUUACCAGGAAGUACAAUCUCCAGAAAACUGAAACUCCAGCUUUUCCUCCUUGAUCGUAGCUUAUUUUUCUUGGCUAACUUCAGAAAAUUCUUCAAGCUGCCACUGCUAGUUCCUGCAGUCAUCUCUCCGAUAUCAUGACUCAAGCCCUCCGGUCGUCUUGGCCACGUUCCCCCUGGUUUAUCCAUAUUCCACGUAAACUGUGUUCAUCAUACUGAAAACAGACCCCUGGAGGAAUUCUGAGGUCCAAGGAUUUGGGCAAGGUCAUUACCUCCUUUUUCCUGGACCAUCUUCUUCAAUUAAUGCAACCUAAGACUGCAAUAAGCUCUUUUACAGGUAUAUAAUUUUGUAUCAUUUGGAGCAUAUUCUUAGAAUUGUUUGGUGUUCUUUCCCCCAUGUAUGCAGCUGAUUUUUAAAAACAGAUCUGUGAUCUAUAGCAAGUUGCUCAAUCUCUUUAAGCCCCACAUUUUUGGUGAGUAAAAUAAUAAUAGCACAGACUUCAUGGCAUUGUGGUGGUGAACAGAUGAGCACCUACGCUUCUCAAUACAGCGUCUUCUACAUAAUAACUUCAAUAAAUAUGAACUAGUAUAAUUAUUGUGUUAUUGGAAAAUUAGAAAUUGCAGGUGAGCAAAAGGCCUUUCUUCCAAACAUUUUUUUUUGUGUAUUUCAAUGUAAUUAAUUUUUUUUACUUAAAAAUUUUGAAUUAAUAUCUCAACUUAUAAGAGCAGCUUUGUCAGUAUAUUUUAAAUGAUUCCCACAAUGCUGAUUUAGGCAUUUUACAUUUUGAUAUGCAUUUUUAGCUGGUUUUCAAAGUCACAAGGCUCUAAGGAAAAGAACUAAUCCUUAGUUGGCAGGAAAGUCCCUCCCCAAAUCCUUGGAUUAAAAUAGAAUCUGCCGCCAGGGCUUUCCUUGUCUUCUGUGAUUGAGAUCUGUCUCAGGUGGGAAGGCAUCCGGUACCUGUGCAUGGCAAGUUCAUUCUUUAGAGAUAGAAUGUGCAACUUUAAUAUUUAUUGAUAGGCACACUAAUUCUCUUGCUGAUGGUAAUUAAUGAGGUGCUUAUAUCUUAUUUUGCGGUAGUUUAACGAGCUUCGGGCUAUAGGAGAGAUCCGGUGCUUGCUGUAAAUGCUGAGAAUCAAAGAUGCUGGAGGAAAAUGCAGAAAAUGGAGCAGAAAAAAUAAGGUUUUAGCAGAUAAAAUAUCUCAGAUUAAAAACACUCUCAAAACAAACCUUGGUAAGGCAGAAGCAUUUAAAAAUCAGGGAGAGCUUGCCAGGGAGGAAAGUCGCAGGUUCCCUAUUCCUUGUUCCCUAAGCAUGCUGUUAAUUUUGACCACCCAUUUGUCUUUCUACCCCUUUGGCUUCGUCUGUGUUAGCAGUGUGAAGUGAAAAAUUGAUAGGAAAAUGUAUUUUUUUUCUUAAGGCUUAGAUAGUUACAGCCAAAACAUUUUGUCAUAUUGGGUUUUGAAUAAUUGUGUCAAAUCUACACUUAAUUUUGCCUUAGACAGCUAGCCUUAUGACCCUAGUUAACCUGUAUUUUCUCUUAUUCUUUCAUCCUUUGGAAAUGAGGUUCACAGAAUACAAAUUCAGAAGAGCAUAAAUUCUAACUCCUUAGAAGACAGGAAUAGAAGUCAAAGUGACCUCAAUAAAUCAAAAGCAAGUUGAAGUUCAAUAGGGACAAAUGUAAGGUAGGAUACUUAUGCCUAAUAGACGGACUCACAAUUUUAAAAUCAUCUGGGCAUGAUUGUGAUGGAAAAGUGUCUCUCUGUCAAGGACAUGAGGAAGCCACAUCCGCAGCCUUGUCUAAGGACCUACUAUGUGCCAGGCAUUUUGCAUAAGUCAGCUUGCUUACAAAUACACUGUAAUAAUCUCAACAGUAACUCUCAAAGCUGUGUAUAAUUUGUGCUCUCAUUUUAUAGAUGUGGAAGCUGAGGCCGAGAGAGGGUAAAUAAUUUGCUCAAAUGUUCACAGUUAGUGAUUUAACUGGUUUUGGAUCCUGCUGUAUCUACUUGACCAAGAGUACUUCAUUACAGAGCUGUUAUUUAAAAAGCCAACCCGGCCGGGUGCGGUGGCUCACGCCUGUGAUCCCAGCACUUUGGGAGGCCGAGGCGGGCAGAUCACAAUGUCAGGAGAUCGAGACCAUCCUGGCUAAUAUGAUGAAGCCCUGUCUCUACUAAAAAUACAAAAAAUUAGCCUGGCGUGGUGGCGGGCGCCUGUAGACGCAGCUACUCGGGAGGCUGAGGCAGGAUAAUGGCGUGAACCCGGGAGGCAGAGCUUGCAGUGAGCCGAAAUUGCGCCACUGCACUCCAGCCUGGGCAACCGAGCGAGACACCCUCCAAAAAAAAAAAAAAAAAAAAAAAGCCAACCCAGUUCUUGGCUAUAGUAACUGAGACUUUACUUGAGAACCAGAUAAUAACCUUUCCAGUAUACUAUACAUUAAUUAAAAUUUAAAAGAAAAAUGAAUAGGAGAAACUGGAGCAAGUCCAAAAAUACCCCACCCAACAACAAAGGCAACAAGAGAAAUUUUUUAAAUUGGCCUAAUAGGUAACAGGCUCAAGGUGUUUGGGAUUGCUUAGCUAGGAAGAAUGCAGCUACAGGGUGAGCGACACACUAAUCCUGUAGACAUCUAAAAGGCAAUAAUAAAGAUUCACAUUUUACAUCAGUAUUUGCAGGUAACAAAGCACUUCCCUGUCAGUUGUCUUACUGGUUUCUCACAGCAGUCAUCCGGAGCAGAAGUCAGCAAACUUUUCUGUAAAGGGCUAGAUAGUUAAAUAUGUUUGGCUUUAUGGGCCAUGCGGUCUCUGUCACAACUCCGCAACAAAAGCAGCCAGAGGCAGUUCAUAAACAAAUGGGCAUGACUGUGAUCCAAUAAAACUCUAUUUACAAGAAGAUGUGACGAGCUGGAUUUGGUUCUCAAGCUGUGGUUAUGUGAAUACAUAUUAUCGUUUCCAUUAUUCAGAUGAGAAAAUUGAGGCUCAGAAAAGUAAAGUGACUUAUCCUAUGCAACUGAAUGAAUAAACAAUGUGUCUGGAACGAGAAUUCACUUUCUGUGGUUAUAGUUUGGUGCUCCAUGAAGUAAAUUGAAGACAUGUACCCAGAAAGAUUUCAGGGAAGUUUGUCAUCCCAAGAUACCAUUUGCCUGUGAUUGUAAUUAAAAUUGGGAGCAGAUGAAUCAAGAAGUUAGAUGAGGCUGGGAGCGCGGUGGCUCACACCUAUAAUCCCAGCAUUUUGGGAGGCCAAGGCAGGCGGAUCACUUGAGCUGAGGAGUUCA
Molecule: long non-coding RNA, 8453 nt
Filed under: Homo sapiens (human)
Lineage: Eukaryota; Metazoa; Chordata; Mammalia; Primates; Hominidae
Description: HSALNT0381601
Source: RNAcentral